Molecule: ribosomal RNA, 467 nt
Filed under: uncultured bacterium
Lineage: Bacteria
Description: partial 16S ribosomal RNA
Rfam family: Bacterial small subunit ribosomal RNA
Source: RNAcentral
GACGAACGCUGGCGGCGUGCUUAACACAUGCAAGUCGAACGGAAAGGCCCUGCUUUUGUGGGGUGCUCGAGUGGCGAACGGGUGAGUAACACGUGAGUAACCUGCCCUUGACUUUGGGAUAACUUCAGGAAACUGGGGCUAAUACCGGAUAGGAGCUCCUGCUGCAUGGUGGGGGUUGGAAAGUUUCGGCGGUUGGGGAUGGACUCGCGGCUUAUCAGCUUGUUGGUGGGGUAGGGGCUUACCAAGGCUUUGACGGGUAGCCGGCCUGGGAGGGUGCCAGGGCCCAUGGGCCUACGGGAGGCAGCCGUGGCGAUUAGGGGGCAAUGGGGGGGAGAUUUUGCCAGCGGGGCCGGGUGCGUGAGGAAGACCGCCGGGUGGGAAAGCCCGGUUGUGGGGUAGUAAACGCUUUUCGCUAGGACCGAGGGGUGAUGACGGUACCGGAAUAAUAAGCACCGGCUAACUUCGUG